This 491-nucleotide ribosomal RNA is filed under the name uncultured bacterium. RNAcentral describes it as "bacterial SSU rRNA". It matches the Rfam family "Bacterial small subunit ribosomal RNA", at positions 15 to 507 of the family's 1533-position model. The record is from RNAcentral.
GAUCCUGGCUCAGGAUGAACGCUAGCGGCAGGCCUAACACAUGCAAGUCGAGGGGUAGAGUUCUUCGGGACUUGAGACCGGCGCACGGGUGCGUAACGCGUAUGCAAUCUACCUUAUACAGGGGAAUAGCCCAGAGAAAUUUGGAUUAAUGCCCCAUAGUGUUAUCGAAUCGCAUGGUUUGAUAACUAAAGUUCCAACGGUAUAAGAUGAGCAUGCGUCCCAUUAGUUAGUUGGUAAGGUAACGGCUUACCAAGACAAUGAUGGGUAGGGGUCCUGAGAGGGAGAUCCCCCACACUGGUACUGAGACACGGACCAGACUCCUACGGGAGGCAGCAGUGAGGAAUAUUGGUCAAUGGGCGCAAGCCUGAACCAGCCAUGCCGCGUGCAGGAAGACGGUCCUAUGGAUUGUAAACUGCUUUUAUACAGGAAGAAACCCUCCCACGUGUGGGAGCUUGACGGUACUGUAGGAAUAAGGAUCGGCUAACUCCGUG